GUUUCGCGGCCCGGGCCUUGUAACGUUCUGAUCGGCGUAGGGAACACCGGUGCGAAUCCGGGGCUGUCCCGCAACUGUCACCGAGGAGCAAACCGCCAGUUCAUGGCCACGACCUGCCCAGGUUGGAAGGCCGGCGGUGCGCGUCGAAUCGGGAGCCAGGAUACCUGCGCCGCGGUAAGGGACGAA
RNAcentral lists this non-coding RNA (186 nucleotides) under Nocardia brasiliensis. Lineage: Bacteria; Bacillati; Actinomycetota; Actinomycetes; Mycobacteriales; Nocardiaceae. The record is from RNAcentral.